Molecule: non-coding RNA, 495 nt
Organism: Lepisosteus oculatus (spotted gar)
Lineage: Eukaryota; Metazoa; Chordata; Actinopteri; Semionotiformes; Lepisosteidae
Source: RefSeq, a predicted model, not a curated record
CCAUGACAGGGCUCUUUGAUAUCUGUAAGGGCAGCUGACUCUCCACACUACUGCAGCUGUGCUGUCCAGCUACUGUUCCUCAUCCAGCAGAGCGGAAGUGUCUCGGAAGCUGAGCAAGGUUAGGCUGGAACAGUUCUUGGAUGAGAGGACAACCAGAUCACUGUUGGAAAUGUGGACAGAUGAAGCUGGUGGAGCACGAGGCAUUCACAGAAGAUUAAAUGGAGUAGAAAAUAGGACAUGUCAGACCACACUCGUUAUUAAUCUGCAAACUGCACAUCCAAACUCUUAAGCUUCAAUAUGUAACUAUUUUGUAACUAUGAUGUUAUGUUAUGAUGCUCUUGUUACUGCAUAAAUCAAAGCAAUGAUGUAAACGGAAACAAAGACAUUGGUCACAUUGCGCAUUACCAGACCUGGCAUUAAUGUCAAUGUGUUUUUUUUAAUAAACAAUGCAAUGUCCAGGGAGUCAAAUUCUAAUGUACUGCCCUGAGAAAGAGA